AACGAACGCUGGCGGCAUGCCUAACACAUGCAAGUCGAACGAGACCUUCGGGUCUAGUGGCGCACGGGUGCGUAACGCGUGGGAAUCUGCCCUUGGGUACGGAAUAACAGUUAUAAAUGACUGCUAAUACCGUAUAAUGACUUCGGUCCAAAGAUUUAUCGCCCAGGGAUGAGCCCGCGUAGGAUUAGCUUGUUGGUGAGGUAAAGGCUCACCAAGGCGACGAUCCUUAGCUGGUCUGAGAGGAUGAUCAGCCACACUGGGACUGAGACACGGCCCAGACUCCUACGGGAGGCAGCAGUGGGGAAUAUCGGACAAUGGGCGCAAGCCUGAUCCAGCAAUGCCGCGUGAGUGAUGAAGGCCUUAGGGUUGUAAAGCUCUUUUACCCGGGAAGAUAAUGACUGUACCGGGAGAAUAAGCCCCGGCUAACUCCGUGCCAGCCGCCGCCGUAA
This 449-nucleotide ribosomal RNA is filed under the name uncultured bacterium. Its description in RNAcentral is "partial 16S ribosomal RNA". It matches the Rfam family "Bacterial small subunit ribosomal RNA", at positions 29 to 523 of the family's 1533-position model. The record is from RNAcentral.